GUCUCCUUCUCGCUGUAAGACGGACCUGCAUCCUGGACCCACGUUUAAUCUCUCCGCCAUCCGCCUUGGUCCCGAUAAGCAACAACAACAAGUCUUCAUUCUCACCGCUCGACUCCCUCAUACAUAAACUAAUUAACUCGACGUCCACACGCACACACCUGGACGUGCACGUGCAGACGGGGACAUUUCGUCCUCGUCUCCUCCCAUGCUGCCGGGUCCAGAUGAAUACAGAUGGAGGCCACGUCUCUCCGCCGUCGGUUGGACCGCAGCUCGAUAAAUAACCAGAAGCAACGAGCGAAGACGAAUGUGGAGCAACAGAUACGGGGACGGACGGUUCGGACGGCUGUCCCGUGACGUCGGCCCUCAGCGAGGAGGAGGAGGAGGACGCGGUGGAGUUUUAGGAUUCUCUGCGUUUGAUGAGACGUUUAAGAAAAGAGAGAAAUACCAGCUCUCCAAAGUCUUCACUGUUCCCCUGGAAUAGACCUGGGUAAUAUAAUAUUACACCAAUGAUGUCAAUGACUUUUCUGAACACACCAGACAUUUUCUUCAGUUGUAUUAUAUUAAAUCCUUAACAUAACAUAACUAAGGAUUAUUUAUCACACAUCCCCCUACAAUCUAAUAUCUUGACAUCUUUAAUAAGAGUUAUAAGAGAGACAUUCAUUAUUCAUCAGCCCCCAUAUGAGGAAACCUCAACCUUUGAACCGCCUACGACGGUCUUUGUCCCCUUUUACUGCUUAUUAAUAUUCUUUCAAGUCCCUGCCUGUAAGAUCUUUCUCUUUCGAGUAUUUCAAUCAAAUCUUUGGUUCAUUCUAAAAACCCGCCUGUCCGUCUCCAGUCUAUCUAAAAUAAAUAAAACAAUAACCUCCAAACCCCCCCGUGUUGAUGUUAGCAUGCUGACAUUAGCAUUCAGCUCAAAUCAUACGAGCUCAUACACCACCAGCCAGAAACAAUCUGUUUUGGUUUUUAGCUCAUAUAUUCAUGUGGGAGAUCAUGCGAAUGACCUCUGACCUCUUGGAAAAAGAGCUGCAGGGGAAUCCAACUAACAUAAUUUUGUUGCA
This is a long non-coding RNA of Gasterosteus aculeatus aculeatus (three-spined stickleback), 1058 nucleotides long. The record is from Ensembl. NCBI's taxonomy places the organism in Eukaryota, Metazoa, Chordata, Actinopteri, Perciformes, Gasterosteidae.